UUUGACUAAUAAUUAAUAAGCAGGGCACAACUAGGCAAUUGUGAAGGAAUGAAGUUCCUCAGCUCGCAGCUUGUAAGGGCCUGGCUCCCAGGGAACUAAGGGAGUCCUGGGCUCUCGGGGAGAGCUCCUUUGCCUGAGCAAAGCUCCUUUGUUCCAGGUGGUUUGGUGUGCUGGACACAGCCACACCCUCCCUGCACCUCUUACGGCUUCCAGGACUCCCACCAUUCAGGACUCAUUUUUUGGCUCUUUAGCACAAUUGUUUUGAACUGAAGGAAUCAGAGACUUAGGGCAACUUCUGGAAGUUUCUACCCAGUUGGCAAAGAAACCUUCUCAAUCCCCUACUUACCCUAAACUAAGAGGACCAGAAAGUCUGCAGGCCCCAUGAUAUGCUACAUCUGCUGACACCAGGGAAACUCCACUACAAGGGAGUUGCAGUCUGUCACUCAACUUGCUGAGGACCAACUCUUGGGGGCACAGUCCCUACCUGCAAGCUGCUUGGAUCUCUUUGACAGGUAAAAACACAACCAUGCAGCUCCUGUCUGGCUGGAGGCUGGGAGGGCUAUUGAUUGUGUAAUGAACCAAGGGCCAAGAGGGGGUCCUUGGUAACAUCUUGUGCCCAGGAUCCCAGAUUUCAAACAAAAUCAUUGCUCCCUGGAGGCUGCUGGAACAACCAUUGGUGAGCAGGCAGUCAAUGCCUGUGUUACUUUCCUAGAAUUGUCACAGCCGGACAAUUGUUGGAGCAAAGAGGAUUCACGUCUCAUGAUAAUUUCCAUGGCUGCAGUGUUAUGCUGAGAAGGAUGUUGAGGGCCCGUCUUGUCUUGGCAGGAAGAGCGUUGUCUGGGGAGAAUGUGAUAAAGAGGAGUAACUGAAGAUAAUUGGAGACUAACGUGAUUUCCUCACUGCCAUAAUUAGUGGCAGAGGUGGGACUGGAACACAGGCAAGAAACAUCCCAA
Molecule: long non-coding RNA, 953 nt
Organism: Homo sapiens (human)
Lineage: Eukaryota; Metazoa; Chordata; Mammalia; Primates; Hominidae
Exons: 2
Source: RefSeq, a predicted model, not a curated record